UACGUAGGGUGCGAGCGUUGUCCGGAAUUAUUGGGCGUAAAGAGCUCGUAGGCGGUCUGUCGCGUCUGCUGUGAAAUCCCGAGGCUCAACCUCGGGCCUGCAGUGGGUACGGGCAGACUAGAGUGCGGUAGGGGAGAUUGGAAUUCCUGGUGUAGCGGUGGAAUGCGCAGAUAUCAGGAGGAACACCAGUAGCGAAGGCGGCACUCUGGGCCGGUACUGACGCUGAGGAGCGAAAGCGUGGGGAGCGAACAGG
This 253-nucleotide ribosomal RNA is filed under the name uncultured bacterium. RNAcentral describes it as "partial 16S ribosomal RNA". It matches the Rfam family "Bacterial small subunit ribosomal RNA", at positions 524 to 776 of the family's 1533-position model. The record is from RNAcentral.